This 21-nucleotide non-coding RNA is filed under the name Caenorhabditis elegans. The record is from RNAcentral. Lineage: Eukaryota; Metazoa; Nematoda; Chromadorea; Rhabditida; Rhabditidae.
UUUUAUGAUUUUUUUCACUGU